RNAcentral lists this ribosomal RNA (432 nucleotides) under uncultured bacterium. RNAcentral's name for it is "partial 16S ribosomal RNA". It matches the Rfam family "Bacterial small subunit ribosomal RNA", at positions 29 to 507 of the family's 1533-position model. The record is from RNAcentral.
ACGCACGCUGGCGGCCUGCCUCACCCCUGCAAGUCGCACGGGACCUUCGGGUCUAGUGGCGCACGGGUGCGUAACGCGUGGGAACCUGCCCUUAGGUUCGGAAUAACUCCCCGAAAGGGGUGCUAAUACCGGAUAAUGUCUUCGGACCAAAGAUUUAUCGCCUUUGGAUGGGCCCGCGUUGGAUUAGCUAGUUGGUAGGGUAAAAGCCUACCAAGGCGACGAUCCAUAGCUGGUCUGAGAGGAUGAUCAGCCACACUGGGACUGAGACACGGCCCAGACUCCUACGGGAGGCAGCAGUGGGGAAUAUUGGACAAUGGGCGAAAGCCUGAUCCAGCAAUGCCGCGUGAGUGAUGAAGGCCUUAGGGUUGUAAAGCUCUUUUACCCGGGAUGAUAAUGACAGUACCGGGAGAAUAAGCCCCGGCUAACUCCGUG